This 395-nucleotide ribosomal RNA is filed under the name uncultured bacterium. RNAcentral's name for it is "bacterial SSU rRNA". It matches the Rfam family "Bacterial small subunit ribosomal RNA", at positions 505 to 898 of the family's 1533-position model. The record is from RNAcentral.
GUGUCAGCCGCCGCGGUAAUACGUAGGUGGCAAGCGUUGUCCGGAAUUACUGGGUGUAAAGGGCGUGUAGGCGGGAAAGCAAGUCAGAUGUGAAAUCCCAGGGCUUAACUCUGGAGCUGCAUCUGAAACUGUUUUUCUUGAGUACUGGAGAGGAAAGUGGAAUUCCAAGUGUAGCGGUGAAAUGCGUAGAGAUUUGGAGGAACACCAGUGGCGAAGGCGGCUUUCUGGACAGUAACUGACGCUGAGGCGCGAAAGCGUGGGGAGCAAACAGGAUUAGAUACCCUGGUAGUCCACGCUGUAAACGAUGGAUACUAGGUGUGGGAGGUAUCGACCCCUUCCGUGCCGCAGUUAACACAAUAAGUAUCCCACCUGGGGAGUACGGCCGCAAGGUUGAA